Molecule: non-coding RNA, 1448 nt
Organism: Monodelphis domestica (gray short-tailed opossum)
Lineage: Eukaryota; Metazoa; Chordata; Mammalia; Didelphimorphia; Didelphidae
Source: RefSeq, a predicted model, not a curated record
UAGCGGAUCAUGACUCUCCUAGGUGUCAGCCAUAACAGUACAGGGGCUAGGUGUGUGGUUUGGGGGUUUUUCCCAGUAAGGGUAAGUCUGUGAUGAAAGGAUGAAAGGAGAGAGUACAGCCUGAUUUCUGAUAAAAAUGAUUGUCUGGGGCUCCAGUCACCACGCUAGGGACUGUUUAGGAGUGUCAGCUAUAAUGGAAUCAAUUAAAGUAGCGAGCAGUCCAGUGGCUUCCUGGCUGAAUUUUGAAUGACCUGGAAAAGGACAGAGAUCUAAACUGCUCUCUGAUCCAUGAUGUCAUAGACAGAGUGUUGUGCUUAAAGUAAGGAAGACCUAGGUUUGGAUGCUAUCUCGGUAGACUGUCUCAAUGGCCUCUGAUACAAAAUGGAGACAAUUCAACUAAUCUCAUGGGACUGUAAUGAGGUUCAAAUGAAGAAAUACAUGAAAAGACUGCAGAUUUUAAAGAGAUGCAUCAGUACUUCCUUUGAACCUCAAAACAACCCCUGGAAACACGUACUAAUGGCAUGAUUACAUACAUGGGUGGGAGAAUAUUAUACGUGUGUCUAAAGGGAUUACAAUAACAAGAUCUAACAUGAGUAUACCUCUUUGAGGUUUGCAAAGGACUUUGUGGACAUCUUACUUUAUCUUCACAAUAAUCCUGUGAGUUUCUUCAAAGACCCUGACUGACCUUUUUGAUCACCAACCAAUCUGGCUCUCCUGAAAGCUACGCCUGUACCCCGGAUCCUCCACGAGGACACGGCUUCUCAGUUGCUUCUAGGGUAAAAGCUCUCACGGGAGUCACCCAGAUGCCAGAUUCCACCAUCACCCCAGCAACCAUCCCAGCCUGAUGCUCUGGACACUGUCUACAGUCAAUGCCUCUCUCUCCUAAGCACCUCUCUACACCCAUUCUCAGCUCUGAAGAAGUUACAGAAGACAGAAGGCCAACCCUUUUUCCCUUACAUAUUAGGAGAGGUGGAGAUGACAUGGGCACUGUACCCCCAGAAACCCAGGCCAACUGUUAUCAGGGAAACUCCCUUGCCUUUGCAUCCUUGUGGCUCUUAACCUAGAAACACCCAAUGACCCCACCCAGGGUCCUGAGAUGUUUACCCUCUUUUGUCCUCUAGAUUUAAGGUGGACAAAGAAAUGAAUCUUGAUGCCUCCAGGCAGACCCCAAUCAGAUGACCACCCCACCCCACCAAAUGCCUGAGGGACUAACAUCCUGGUCAUGUCCACACCAGGACAUAGCAUCUAAAGAGUAUAUAAUCCCCAGAACUGAUGUGCUCUGGGGGAUAGCCUCUCCAUCCAUACUGUCCCCAGGGGGGAACUGCCUUUCCUUUAAUGCUGUCCUCCCAGGGAACUGCUCCCCAUCUUGCUGUUCUACCUUGCUAUCCUCCUGGCCACUCUCAACAUUACUCUCUAAAUUAAUAAAUCUCUUUUUGUUUUUAAGCUAA